UGAGGUGGUUACAGAUGGGUAUGCGUCCUAUUAGCUAGUUGGUAAGGUAACGGCUUACCAAGGCGACGAUAGGUAGGGGUCCUGAGAGGAAGAUCCCCCACACUGGAACUGAGACACGGUCCAGACUCCUACGGGAGGCAGCAGUGAGGAAUAUUGGACAAUGGAUGGAAAUCUGAUCCAGCCAUGCCGCGUGCAGGAAGACGGCCCUAUGGGUUGUAAACUGCUUUUAUACGGGAGCAAUAAGGUCUACGAGUAGGCCGAUGAGAGUACCGUAGGAAUAAGCACCGGCUAACUCCGUGCCAGCAGCCGCGGUAAUACGGAGGAUGCAAGCGUUAUCCGGAUUCAUUGGGUUUAAAGGGUGCGUAGGCGGCUUUUUAAGUCAGUGGUGAAAUCCUGCCGCUUAACGGUAGAAUUGCCAUUGAUACUGAAAAGCUUGAGUACAUUUGAGGUAAGCGGAAUGUGUAGUGUAGCGGUGAAAUGCUUAGAUAUUACACAGAACACCAAUUGCGAAGGCAGCUUACUAAACUGAUACUGACGCUGAUGCACGAAAGCGUGGGGAGCGAACAGGAUUAGAUACCCUGGUAGUCCACGCCGUAAACGAUGUCAACUAGGUGUUGGGACGGUUACAGCUCUGUGCCAAGCGAAAGCAUUAAGUGAGCCACCUGGGGAGUACGAUCGCAAGGUUGAAACUCAAAGGAAUUGACGGGGGCCCGCACAAGCGGAGGAACAUGUGGUUUAAUUCGAUGAUACGCGAGGAACCUUACCCGGGCUCGAACGGUGCAGGAAUAUGGUAGAGAUAUCAUAGCUAGCAAUAGUCUGUAUCGAGGUGCUGCAUGGUUGUCGUCAGCUCGUGCCGUGAGGUGUCGGGUUAAGUCCCAUAACGAGCGCAACCCUUAUCGUUAGUUGCCAGCGGAUCAUGCCGGGGACUCUAGCGAGACUGCCACCGUAAGGUGUGAGGAAGGUGGGGAUGACGUCAAAUCAGCACGGCCCUUAUGUCCAGGGCUACACACGUGUUACAAUGGCCGAUACAAAGGGCAGCUACCAGGUGACUGGAUGCUAAUCUCCAAAGUCGGUCUCAGUUCGGAUCGAAGUCUGCAACCCGACUUCGUGAAGCUGGAUUCGCUAGUAAUCGCAUAUCAGCCAUGAUGCGGUGAAUACGUUCCCGGGCCUUGUACACACCGCCAG
Molecule: ribosomal RNA, 1185 nt
Filed under: uncultured bacterium
Lineage: Bacteria
Description: bacterial SSU rRNA
Rfam family: Bacterial small subunit ribosomal RNA
Source: RNAcentral